GCCAGUGUGGUGUAAUGGUUUGAGUGCUAGACUGCAACUCUGGAAACCUGGGUUCGAUUCCCAGCUUGGCCA
Molecule: transfer RNA, 72 nt
Filed under: Phrynosoma platyrhinos (Desert horned lizard)
Lineage: Eukaryota; Metazoa; Chordata; Lepidosauria; Squamata; Phrynosomatidae
Description: tRNA-OTHER
Rfam family: tRNA
About the family: Transfer RNA (tRNA) molecules are approximately 80 nucleotides in length. Their secondary structure includes four short double-helical elements and three loops (D, anti-codon, and T loops).
Source: RNAcentral